UGUUGUUGGAAGUUUGCUUCAUCACUUUAUUAUCUGAUAGAGCUUGAAACCCAAUUAAUACAUAGAUUUAGGUGUAUUGAAACAGAAUUUAAUUUGAAUAUGUAGUAGUAACCCUACAUUAUCUGCUCUUUGUAAAAUACUUCUUAAAUGCAUUGUAGGUGGGGUUUACACCAAUGUUGUCUCUGAUUUGAUUUUAAUGGUUUUAUAAGAGUUUUAAGAUAUGAGCUUACUUUAAUUAGUUAUGGAGGGCUGAUAAUAUCAGUCACCUCUUACUGUUUUUAAUACAGAUUAAUGAAUGACACUACAGCAAUAAUGUUUUGGAUGAAGAAGCAAUAUUUAAAUUCUUCCUUCUUAUUUUUUAGCCAAAGUUCGAGGCUUUGUACUAUGUGUGGAGUGUGGUAAGAGGAGGGUGGUUUAUUGUAAGACCAGGCUGACACGACCACAGGAACAACUAAUAAUACGUGUCCAGGAGGAGUUGCUGUAUGUUUGUGGUAAUCCACUCUUUCCUGGAGGACCUAUGCAAGACAUCCUUAUCGUAAGAGAAGGAUUGAGUUGUUCAUCCCCAAUAGAGGUGUCUUAUUAUGCUGGAAUAACACAGACAUUUGAUGAAAUAUGUUUCUUCUGUGGUGAUGUGGACAUUUUGAGAAAUGACGAGAUCAACCAACUGAAGGAGGACUUCAGCAUUGUCAGACCAAUUUGCAAUACAUGCUUUACUGUCAAUCAUCUCAAACCAGCCACUAGGAAUGCAAAAAAAACCAAAAAACAGAAGACAAAUUAAAAUUAAUACACAAAAUAUGUAUAGAUCAUAGAAACUUUCUACAAAACAUUAUUAAUACGUAAAAAAGGUUAUAUUUUUUAAUGGUGCUGAUAAGGUCAGAGUUUUAUAUGUGACAUGUGUUUGCCUUGUAAAAGUGUAAUGUUGUAAGGAAAGUCAUAUGUGAAGUUCGGAGUAACUGUAAAUAUUUGAAUGGAAGUUUUGGAGUGGCAUUUUUAAAAAUAGGUUAUAUUUUAAUGGUGCUGAUUUAUGUGACAUGUGUAUGCCUUGUAUUAAAGUGUAAUGUUGUAUAUUUCAUUUUAUAAUAAAAUGGAAAGUCGUA
Mercenaria mercenaria is the source of this 1097-nucleotide long non-coding RNA. RefSeq lists it as uncharacterized. The transcript is spliced from 2 exons. The record is from RefSeq and is a predicted model, not a curated record. Lineage: Eukaryota; Metazoa; Mollusca; Bivalvia; Venerida; Veneridae.